UGCCCCCUUUUCACUUUGCCAGUUGGACUUAUGUCUUUAUUGGUCAUUCAAGUGGGGCAAAGGAAAUAUCCUUUUAAAACUCAGGCAAACUGGGUGUUUGUCUGUAUCCUGUCAGAGGAAACAAAU
This is a small nucleolar RNA of Gorilla gorilla gorilla (western lowland gorilla), 126 nucleotides long. Ensembl annotates it as small nucleolar RNA, H/ACA box 27. Its record names the gene SNORA27. Lineage: Eukaryota; Metazoa; Chordata; Mammalia; Primates; Hominidae. The record is from Ensembl.